GAGGCUUCGGCAAUGGGGGAAACCCUGACCGAGCGACGCCGCGUGAAGGAUGAAGGCCCUUGGGUUGUAAACUUCUUUUGUUGGGGAAGAAAUGCGAUCAGGUGAAUAAUCUGGUCGUUUGACGGUACCCUACGACAAAGCUCCGGCUAACCCCGUGCCCGCAGCCGCGGGAACACGGGGGGAGCAAGCGUUGUUCGGAAUCACUGGGCGUAAAGGGCGUGUAGGCGGCCCGAUUAGUGGGAUGUGAAAUGCCCCGGCUUACCCGGGGACCUGCAUCCCAAACUGUCGGGCUUGAGUAUGGGAGAGGAUGAGGGAAUUCCUGGUGUAGCGGUGAAAUGCGUAGAUAUCAGGAGGAACACCGGUGGCGAAGGCGCUCAUCUGGCCCAAUACUGACGCUGAGGCGCGAAAGCUGGGGAAGCAAACGGG
This 426-nucleotide ribosomal RNA is filed under the name uncultured bacterium. RNAcentral describes it as "bacterial SSU rRNA". It matches the Rfam family "Bacterial small subunit ribosomal RNA", at positions 359 to 776 of the family's 1533-position model. The record is from RNAcentral.